This is a transfer RNA of 58 nucleotides. It matches the Rfam family "tRNA", at positions 16 to 71 of the family's 71-position model. From Rfam's summary of the family: Transfer RNA (tRNA) molecules are approximately 80 nucleotides in length. Their secondary structure includes four short double-helical elements and three loops (D, anti-codon, and T loops). The record is from Rfam.
UUGGUAGAGCACCUGGUUUGGGACCAGGGGGUCGCAGGUUCGAAUCCUGUCUUCCCGA